This 322-nucleotide long non-coding RNA is filed under the name Nicotiana benthamiana. RNAcentral describes it as "long non-coding RNA (NBEN_LNC021255)". Lineage: Eukaryota; Viridiplantae; Streptophyta; Magnoliopsida; Solanales; Solanaceae. The record is from RNAcentral.
AUAUUCUUCAAGAAGGAUUAAGGAGCUUUCAAAGCCAAACAUUUGGACAAUCUUCAAAAGGACUAAGGAUUUCCACUUAUGGAUUUAGGUACGCUUCCUCUUAUGUUGUUAUUCCAAAUAAUUCGAUAUGAAGGCUAUUAUGUUUUAGUCGUAUUUAAAAUCCUAACAGUUGGUAUCAGAGCCUCCUUCAUAUUUGGAUUAUUUGGAAGUUCAUGAAAUUCAUGUUAUAUAAAGUUUAUGAUUAAGUUAAGAUAGAAUUUUGAUUAUGAAAUUCUAGUACCAUGAUAUAGCAUGAUUUCAUGAAUGAUGUGUUGUUGAUGAA